Canis lupus familiaris (dog) is the source of this 436-nucleotide long non-coding RNA. RefSeq lists it as uncharacterized. The record is from RefSeq and is a predicted model, not a curated record. The transcript is spliced from 2 exons. NCBI's taxonomy places the organism in Eukaryota, Metazoa, Chordata, Mammalia, Carnivora, Canidae.
UGGAGACACAAAGGUGUUGAGUAACCUGUCUACACAGCCGGAGUCACAGAGCCAAGACGCAACGGCUCACCUGUCCACAGCCCACCUGUCCUGAUCACAGACGGGACACAUCUGUGCCGGGAGAGCGAGGAGUCCACCAGAGCCAGAGAGCUCAUCAUCACAAGAGAACUAUUUGCAGAGCCCUUGGAAUAGGAGACAUCCGGAGAAGUGCUGUUGUGUGGAUGGCAGAGAAUCACAUAAAAUGGCACUCGGAGGGGAGCGAAGUUUUUCGGAGUCGCAUCCUUGCCAGUCUCCCCGCAGCGUUAGGCGCUCCAGCCUUUCAGCUCUGGCCUGUCCCGCCAAAUAUUUCACCCUGAAGUUGAUGCACUUUGUAUCGCAGAUUGUCAUCUUCCUUGUGAAAGUAUUUCCAACUUUUUAAAUAUCCAUGAUUUUAGAA